GAUGAACGCUCGCUACAGGCUUAACACAUGCAAGUCGCGGGGCAGCAUGGGGGUUGCUUGCAAUCCCCGAUGGCGACCGGCGCACGGGUGAGUAACGCGUAUCCAACCUGCCCUUCACCGCGGGAUAACCCGGCGAAAGUCGGACUAAUACCGUAUGUUGUCCAUUGACGGCAUCCGAUUUGGACGAAAGGUUUGGCGGUGAAGGAUGGGGAUGCGUCCGAUUAGCUGGACGGCGGGGUGACGGCCCACCGUGGCGACGAUCGGUAGGGGUUCUGAGAGGAAGGUCCCCCACACUGGAACUGAGACACGGUCCAGACUCCUACGGGAGGCAGCAGUGAGGAAUAUUUGUCAAUGGGCGUAAGCCUGAACCAGCCAAGUAGCGUGCAGGAUGACGGCCCUAUGGGUUGUAAACUGCUUUUAUGCGGGGAUAAAGUGGCCCACGUGUGGGUUUUUGCAGGUACCGCAUGAAUAAGGACCGGCUAAUUCCGUG
Molecule: ribosomal RNA, 490 nt
Filed under: uncultured bacterium
Lineage: Bacteria
Description: partial 16S ribosomal RNA
Rfam family: Bacterial small subunit ribosomal RNA
Source: RNAcentral